RNAcentral lists this ribosomal RNA (497 nucleotides) under uncultured bacterium. RNAcentral's name for it is "partial 16S ribosomal RNA". It matches the Rfam family "Bacterial small subunit ribosomal RNA", at positions 28 to 507 of the family's 1533-position model. The record is from RNAcentral.
GAUGAACGCUGGCGGCGUGCCUAAUACAUGCAAGUCGAGCGAACAGACGAGGAGCUUGCUCCUCUGACGUUAGCGGCGGACGGGUGAGUAACACGUGGAUAACCUACCUAUAAGACUGGGAUAACUUCGGGAAACCGGAGCUAAUACCGGAUAAUAUAUUGAACCGCAUGGUUCAAUAGUGAAAGACGGUUUUGCUGUCACUUAUAGAUGGAUCCGCGCCGCAUUAGCUAGUUGGUAAGGUAACGGCUUACCAAGGCGACGAUGCGUAGCCGACCUGAGAGGGGGAUCGGCCACACUGGAACUGAGAAACGGUCCAGACUCCUACGGGAGGCAGCGGUAGGGAAUCUUCGGCAAUGGGCGAAAGCCUGACGGAGCAACGCCGCGUGAGUGAUGAGGGUCUUCGGAUCGUAAAACUCUGUUAUUAGGGAAGAACAAAUGUGUAAGUAACUAUGCACGUCUUGACGGUACCUAAUCAGAAAGCCACGGCUAACUACGUG